Dendronephthya gigantea is the source of this 389-nucleotide long non-coding RNA. RefSeq lists it as uncharacterized. Lineage: Eukaryota; Metazoa; Cnidaria; Anthozoa; Malacalcyonacea; Nephtheidae. The transcript has 3 exons. The record is from RefSeq and is a predicted model, not a curated record.
CCAGGAAGUAAAUCAAGGAACAAACUAAUCAAACAAAACUUGAGCAAUUCUAGAAUCUGGACGAAGUAAUAUAUUGUAUAAAAGGAUCAAAGUUCGUGAUGACUUCGUUUGGUUUCCUGAAUCUGUUUGGCCUCAUUUGCCUGAUAUUUCCAUGUCAAGGAGUUAUCUAUCCCCCAACCAGUGGAAACAGCUUGACAUUCCCACCAGGAUCAACUGGAAAAAUAGAGUGGUCAUUUGACGACAACAUAUCUGAUGUGUUUUCACGAUCUUGGACUUUCACAAGUACAGACGGUUCCGUCAAUAGAAAAGUGAUUGCUACUGUAAGUGAUGAUGAUAAUCCUAAGAUACGCGUCAGUUUUCCUGUGUUUGCAGUGGAAAAACCAGCCACG